ACGUACGAGGCGAGCGUUAUCCGGAAUUAUUGGGCGUAAAGCGCGCGCAGGCGGACUGUUAAGUAGGGCGUGAAAUCUCCCGGCCUAACUGGGAGGGGUCGCCCUAAACUGGCAGUCUUGAGGACAGCAGAGGUAGGUGGAAUUCCUGGUGUAGUGGUGAAAUGCGUAGAGAUCAGGAGGAACACCGGUGGCGAAGGCGGCCUACUGGGCUGUCUCUGACGCUGAGGCGCGAAAGCUCGGGGAGCGAACGGGA
This 253-nucleotide ribosomal RNA is filed under the name uncultured prokaryote. Its description in RNAcentral is "partial 16S ribosomal RNA". It matches the Rfam family "Bacterial small subunit ribosomal RNA", at positions 525 to 777 of the family's 1533-position model. The record is from RNAcentral.